GAGUCUUAAUAUUUGACUAACUAUUUACUAAUUUUCUUUUUUAUUUAUUAUAGAAAGUUGUUACUAAGGUGGUGCAUGACACAGUACCAUCGGGUCCUCAAACAGUAAUCAAUGGACCGCAGUUCAAUAACGAUCACAUUGGACAGCAAAGUAAUACUUAUAAUUAUAACAAACUCAGAGCGG
Cydia pomonella (codling moth) is the source of this 183-nucleotide long non-coding RNA. RefSeq lists it as uncharacterized. The transcript is spliced from 5 exons. The record is from RefSeq and is a predicted model, not a curated record. NCBI's taxonomy places the organism in Eukaryota, Metazoa, Arthropoda, Insecta, Lepidoptera, Tortricidae.